RNAcentral lists this long non-coding RNA (2867 nucleotides) under Arachis ipaensis. RNAcentral describes it as "long non-coding RNA (AIPA_LNC001537)". The record is from RNAcentral. Lineage: Eukaryota; Viridiplantae; Streptophyta; Magnoliopsida; Fabales; Fabaceae.
CCUUUUCUGGCGCUGGACGCCAGAAUUGGGCAGAGAACUGGCGUUGAACGCCAGUUUACGUCGUCUAUCCUUGUGCAAAGUAUGGACUAUUAUAUAUUGCUGGAAAGCCCUGGAUGUCUACUUUCCAAUGCAAUUGGAAGCAUGCCAUUUCGAGUUCUGUAGCUCCAGAAAAUCCACUUUGAGUGCAGGGAGGUCAGAAUCCAACAGCAUCAGCAGUCCUUUUUCAGCCUGAAUCAGAUUUUUGCUCAGCUCCUUCAAUUUCAGCCAGAAAAAUACCUGAAAUUACAGAAAAACACACAACUCAUAGUAAAGUCCAGAAAUAUGAAUUUUUCCUAAAAACUAACUAAAACAUACUCUAAACUAUAUGAAAUUAUCCCCAAAAAGCGUAUAAAAUAUCCGCUCAUCAUCUACCCGCAACCCGACGUUACUCGGGGUGAACCCCGAAUAUGGUUCCUUUACUGUGUCAGUUAGACACCUUGGCAUCACGGUUACCCGUGUCAGUUAGGCCUCAUCAUAAUAACAUUUUAAUGUGUAUCAUAGUAAGAAACAGUGCUAUCAGUUAGGCGAACAUUUCCGCAUUAGCAAUCUCAGGCUAUCAGUUAGGCGGACACUUUCGCAUUAACAAUUUGGCACAAAGGCCCAUUCAACAUACAAUAUGCUAUCAGUUAGACAGACAUUCCCGCAUUAGCAAUCUUAGGCUAUCAGUCAGGCGGACACUUCUGCAUUAGCAGUUUGGCACAAAGGCCCAGUCAAACAAAUAACAUUCAACUAUCCUUUUCAUUCAUUGUUUCUUAUUUCCUGUCUUUUCAUCAUGCCUCCGCAUCACCUUAUAAAUGUACAUACCUCCGCAUCACCACAUAACUAAGCAUACCUCCACAUCACCAUAUUACUAAGCAUACGUCCGCAUCACCCUUUUAACUUUAACCUUCCUAGGGGUAACUUGCAUUCUUAUUCACUUCUUAGCUUGUUUAGCUUAAUACCUUUUUGGCGACCGGUUUUCAAUCUAACGAUUAAUAUCACAAACGGACUCAGAUUCACGCAAACUUUAUGUCCACAUGUUUAUAUUGAACUCAAGUUUCUAAAAUUUUAGAAAUCGUAUUUUUCUGGGCAGUCUAUCUCCAACUAUUGAGGAAAAACGAAGACUGUUAUUCUAGGUUUGUAGGAACAGCACCUUGCUGUCUUGUUAUGUUGUUUUUAUGUUGUGAAAGCUUACGCACGGACUAUCUCUCUUAUCAAAGUAACUCUAGAGAUUCUAACCUUUACUUUGAAUUAUAUUUUACUGCAUUUGGAUUAGAAUUGAAUUUUAUACAUGGUUUUAAAAUUCUGGUACUGCACUUGUAAAGAUUCAGAAAAACAGCAAGCAGCAGUGUCUUUAUAAAAUUCAUAAUAAUUUCAAUUCUAAUCCGUUGCUCCUAAAUUUUGGUGAGAUUACAGUCAAUAUCCCUAAGUUUAAGAAUCCACAAGUUUCAAGUUCAUAUAACUUCAUUUGAUUCAUUAAUUAUCAAUUGGAAGUGGAGCCCUGUUUUCAUAAACCAGUUCAGAGUUUCCAGCAAACAACCGACCUUCCAAGUGACUUAUCUAAGUCUACAAAAUAGAUAUGAACAUAAAACUUAUACUCACUUAAAAUAGAUUGAUAGAUCUUUAAAAUUCUUUUGAAAUCAACUCAAAAUUCUGUUUAAAUUAAAAGUUAUAGCAUCUGGAAGUUGGUGCUGUAGAACUAGAAAACCAAAAAAAUCUGCAACAACCACUAAACUUCAAAAAUUCAUAUCUUCCAAACCGCUUGGCCAAAUUCCAUGAAAUGUUUAUGGCAUAUUCAAGACAUACUGAUAUUUUACAGAAAAAUAAUUUCAUCUAAAAAUUAGGUCUGGCCUGCUCCCAGAAAGUCAUUCGUUCUGCUGCCAAGUAUGCAGAAAUUCUGCAUCAAGUAAUUCCAACAACCUCACAUACCAAAACUUAUAUUUAAGCCUAAAAUUCCUCUAAAACCAUAAUUCCAACUUUCUUGUGACUAACCAAAGUUGCUAGAGUAAUUAGCACUGCCCCAACAAUCCAGAUUCGAUAUUUUCUAAGUUUUCAAGUGCUUAUACACAAGUGAACAUUCAUUUUUCUGCAUCAUGUUAAAAACAUAAUUUCCACAUGCACUUUUUAUCAUUCAAUCACAUAAUAAAUCAUCAUUCAUCAUCAUUCAACUGGAUUUAGUUAUAACAGAACCCAUCUCAAGCACAACAGCUCAUACUACCAACUAAUUCAAUCAUAAAAUAUAGCCUUUAGCCUUCAAGUAAAUUCUGCACAUAGCAACAUAAAACCCCAAGUAACAUUAUCAAACCUACAAUUCACCAACAGCACCAUCAAUCAGUCACAAACAUAUCCUUCUAAACAUUCAAACCCUUACCUCUUUUGAAGUUCAAAAUUCUAUUUCUGCUUCUUCUUUGAAUUAAAAAUCCUAGACACACAAAAUUGAAGUUUCAGUCACUCCUCUCUUCUCCCUCAGCUCCGUUUCAUUCUUUUCUUUUUUCUGUUUGUGAGUGUCUGUGAUGACCCAGAUGAAGCAAGCACUCAUAUAAGUAGAAGAAGAAGUGGAGGAACUCGUCCUGUCUCUCCUUCUUUCCGUCUUGGUUCUGCUCUCUCUCUCCCUCUCUUUGCUGCCUUCUGUUUCUUGCGUUGAAAAAGGGAGACCCAGUAGAAGCGGUGGGCGUAUAAAUAGGAGAAAAAGAAGUGGAGUGAGGUGGUGAAGAGAGUUUCGUGGUUCUUCCUCCAGAGAACACCUAACCAAAGCCCAUUAUCAUAUGAGGAAACCAAGAGGUGUAACCUUGGUUGGGAGGAGGCUUCUCUCUGUUUUGGUUAUCAGAGAAAGAAUGAAGAAGAUUAGG